Molecule: unclassified non-coding RNA, 381 nt
Filed under: uncultured bacterium
Lineage: Bacteria
Description: contains 16S-23S intergenic spacer region
Source: RNAcentral
UCCGGUUUGACACCGGCAGUCUCCCUAGAGUGCCCGGCUUUACCCGCUGGUAACUAGGGACAAGGGUUGCGCUCGUUGCGGGACUUAACCCAACAUCUCACGACACGAGCUGACGACAGCCAUGCAGCACCUGUGUUCCAAGCCCCGAAGGGAAGACCACAUCUCUGCGGCCGGUCUUGGACAUGUCAAGAGCUGGUAAGGUUCUGCGCGUUGCGUCGAAUUAAACCACAUGCUCCACCGCUUGUGCGGGCCCCCGUCAAUUCCUUUGAGUUUCAGUCUUGCGACCGUACUCCCCAGGCGGAGUGCUUAAUGUGUUGACUUCGGCACAGCAGGGGUCGAUACCCGCUACACCAAGCACUCAUCGUUUACGGCGUGGACUAC